This 3407-nucleotide unclassified non-coding RNA is filed under the name Hevea brasiliensis (rubber tree). The record is from RNAcentral. Lineage: Eukaryota; Viridiplantae; Streptophyta; Magnoliopsida; Malpighiales; Euphorbiaceae.
CGACGGCAGACAAGCAACUUAUUUUCCAAGGAAAGAAAUUUCUUUGCUGAAUCACAUCGAACUUUCAUCACUCUUUUACACUUCCAAACGGAAUCCUAAAUUUCAGGAAAGAUUUACCAUUACCCAAUUCAAUUACAAAAUCCAAAUGGAUUUCGAUUUCCAGAAGAAUCGGGUUCAAAUUCUCAUCUUCAUCAUCGGAAUAGUUGGUCUCAGUAUCACUGGUAUGUUCGCGGGUGUCCAUCAGUAUGCAUCUUAAUUUCAUUCGUGUUCUUAAUCAUUCGGCUUAUGAUCCUUUAUUUAGAAAUUAUGGGAUCCCAUUUAAAGUUAUGAUUUCGAGGGGAAUUGCUGAAGUUAGGGAGUCUUUGUACACGAAAAGUUUGAAUUAUUUGGUCAACUAGGGGCUUAGUUCUUGGAUUUUGAUAGAUUCUUAAUGUCCCUUCAUUUGUUAAAUCGUUAUUAUGCUGUUCAUGACUGGAAAAAUCAAUAAUUAACUCAGGAUACUUUGUAUUGGGGAAGAGGGAGUGUGAUUGUGUUGGGGGAUGUAAUUGGAUUUCGGUUUUGUAAGAUUUUUUUCUUCUGGGUAGGUAUGAUUUGUAAUCUUAUGCAUGGUAUAAGGACUUAUGUCUGAUCUGAGGAUUUGGAUGACAAACGAACAAUCUAAAUUUUGCAGAGAUUAACCUAUUAACUAUCUUUUUCUUGCUUGGAUGGGUACUCGGUCGGAUUAUGUGGAAUAACUGGGUAGUGGAAAAACAAAACUAAAAGAAGGUACAUCAAAUUUACUGACUUCCAUUGUUAAAAAAUGUUGAGAAAUUUUCUUUGAAUUUUAGUCCAUUUCUGUUGUCAUAUUAUGAAUUUUUUGUUUGCUCAUAGGGAAACUACAUGCUUAAUUCUGAAAAUUUAGAAACAAUAUUGCUAAUCUAAAACCUCAUCCAAGCCUCAUCCAAGCUUGACACUAUCUAGCUUGCUUGAAUUUUGAUGAGUAUCUUGUAGUACCAGUGGAUUUUAGGAGAAGAGAAAUUAGGAUCUGACAGUUUAUUGGCAUUGCUCUGCUGCAGAUAUCUGCGUAAUGCACACAUCCUGAUUGUAUAAUGCACACAAAUUCAUUCCACUGUGCACAUGUAAUUGUUGCUAUCUUUAUAGCCACAGAACUAGUCCAUUUCUUUCAUUAUCUGUUCAAUAACUGAGCCUGAAAAGGCUGCGUCCUGAUUUUGUUUUGCAUAGCUGAUUGCUUAUAUGCUCACCUAUUGUUUCUGGUAGCUGAUAAAUGUAGGCAACUGGUUGGUGAAGAUUCUUCAUCCCAGAGUGGAAAGUUUACCAUCUUUAACUGCUUUGACAUGAGCACUGGGACCCUGGCAUGCACAGUGAAAGAAGGUGUGAAGCUGUAUUUUUACAACAUCAGGUCUGCUCAUGUUGAGAAGGCUAGGAAUCUUGCAAUAGAGCGUGCAUUACUUGAUGCAUUGGGACAGGGAAUAUCUGCAAAAGAUGCAGCAAAACAAGCACAGAAAGAAGGGGCAAAGGCUGCAAAGCUGGCAACCCGACAAGCAAAACGCAUUAUAGGUCCCAUUAUUUCUUCUGGCUGGGACUUUUUUGAAGCUCUUUAUUAUGGCGGUACCAUAACAGAAGGAUUCCUAAGGGGCAGUGGAACAUUGUUUGGUGCCUAUGCUGGAGGGUUUGUCGGUGAAGCUAGCCUUGGGCACUUCCACUUUGGCUAUCUUGUAGGAAGUCAUCUGGUUAGUUAGGUUGAAGUGGGAUAGGACUGAUGAUAUAUGAUGUGGUCAAUGGAGUGCAUUUCUUGCUUCAAAUUUACCAAGAGGUUAGUGAAAGUCGUGAGAAUUAUGAUAAUUUUGAAGUUUCUGAGGACUUCAAUGUCUAUGAAACCCUGCAUACACAAGCUCUGAGGUUUCUGAGGACUCCAGUGUCUAUGAAACUUCUGCAUACACAAACUCUAAGGUUUCUGAAGACUCCAAUUUCUAUGAAUCUCGUCCCUCUGAAAGCUCCGAAUCAUACGAAAAUUCUGAAUUUGGGUGAAUAAAUUUGAUUCUUUAGUGGUUUCAUCCCCUAUUGUUCUGAUUUUAGCCAAAAUAGAUGCAAUAUAAGCUACAGUUUAGUGACUCAGUAGAGAAUUGUGCAUAAAUACUUGGCAGUGUUGUUAUAAAUUGGCUAUAAAUUCAGUUUGUCUGAGACGUAAUCUUGGCGACUAUUAUCAUUUAUCUUUUAUCGUCCUGAAGUUUGGCAUUCGUCUAUUUGAUUUCUUUAUGGGGACAAGAAAAUUUUAUUCAAUAGCAGAGUUCUAUCAGCCUAUUAUGGUCGUGUAACUAGUUUUUAAAGUUUUCAUGUUCUUUGUAACCAUCGUUCGGAGAGUAGUUGGUAGUUUCUUGAGAUAAUUUUGAUAUGCCUCUCUUUUGUACUGUGGCUGUGUUGGUGCUACUGACCUAUACUGGUUGCACGUGGAGCUGCUUUUUAUUGCUUGUUUUGCUUCUGAUUGAGUUUGGGUGGUAUAAUGUAUAUGCGCUGAAAUGGAAUUGGUGGAUAACAUGUAUACCGCAUGGGGCAGUGGUUAUAUUGACAGUGGAGAUAUUGGAUUUCUGUUCUGCAAUUUUCUAGCUUGCAACUUUCUGAGAUAAUAGAUAGAAGUACUGUGUUUAUUGGGCAUUAAAGACUCUUACUGUGCUGGCUUAGGUACUUGGCUGAGUAUUUGAAUUCUUGGUGAUUCAGGUGUAGGGAGCUUUUGGCUUUUGGUUUUGAUCCUUUUUGUGGCUUUUGUUAAAAGCAGUUGUUACUUUUGUUUAGGCUUGGUUUAAUGUUCUGUACUUGCGCAUUUUUCUUGCUCUUGGUGUUUGUAUUUUCUUCUGUCAGGUUUUUCAGUUGAGCUGCUUUUAACAGCACUCUUUUUGAUUCAAAGCUCAAGCUUUGGACCGUUUGUUAGGUUCAUGGACUUGUGGUAGAGAGGGCAUCUGUCUGGUACUUGAAUGAAGGGCCUAGGAUUAGGAUAACCUAUAGAGUUGUUUGGAAUACUUCAUGAUUCCAUACUCUUAUUGAUUUGGGCUGCGACUCCCAUCUUUUGCUUGCAAAUUUUGCAUAUUGCAUGGACUAGAGUAGGUAAGCCUACCAUCGCAAUCAAAUCUUGAGUGUGGUGCAUGGUGUCUUGUGGCUGCCACGCACCCUUUGCUCAAAUGCUCACACGUAACUUGACUUCGUUCUCAGCCAACCAAUUACAUGCCUUUGCCUUUGCCCCACUACAACACUAGUUUAAUUAUGUGCUCUUGUUCUUCUUGCUUUAUUUAAACAAUAAAUCAAAGCAUUUCAUUUCCUAUAUCAUAUCAAUAUCAUUUCAUGAGCAACGCCUCUUAACUAUUUCAUAAUAAUUUAAUUGUCAAAGAAGAAAAUUACAUGGUUGGAGUUUUGGC